AGCGCGUAGACUCAGAGAAAACUUGCGAAGUUUAGGAUGGAGCUGAAGAGACUGGGUUCCGUCCUACGGUGGGAUUUCUUUCCGUGCUCGCGCGUUCAGCCCCAAGUCUCAGGGCCACUCGUCUGGGAAGUUGUAGAAUCUGUAUAGCCAACCUACACAACCUCCAAGGGGCCUUUGGACAGGACCAUCAGCUUUUUCCUUGCCUUCGGACUUGAAUUAAACAUCAUCUCUUCCUUGGCGUCAAGCCUGCUGCCAUCAGACUGGAACUAAACCAUCAGCUCUCAUGGGACUCCAUCUUGCUGACUUAUCCUGCAGAUCUUGGGAUUUAACCGCCUCCAUAAUCACGAAUCCUCCCUCCAGGUCACUGGGAGCUUCAAUUCCUUAGAAGAAAGAAAGAGAUGACUCCUGCUUCAUAGUCCAGGAAAAUCCCCACACACCGUGGAGGCUCUUUAAGGCGGAAGGAGGUCUGCGGGGAUGUGAGAGCUUCAUACUCAUUCCCACGACUCUGUCGCAGAAGCCAGUGUCCAUUGGCAGAAGCAACUAUCACCAUACUAUGAAGUAGCACAAGCCCUUCACCAGAUACAGUCGCCCAAUCUUGGACCAUCCAGCCCCAAGAACCAUGAGCUAAAUAAACCUUUUUCCUUGAUAAAUUA
Molecule: long non-coding RNA, 653 nt
Organism: Homo sapiens (human)
Lineage: Eukaryota; Metazoa; Chordata; Mammalia; Primates; Hominidae
Gene: ZNF691-DT
Product: ZNF691 divergent transcript
Source: Ensembl